UCGAGGGGCAGCAUGGUCUUAGCUUGCUAAGGCCGAUGGCGACCGGCGCACGGGUGAGUAACGCGUAUCCAACCUGCCUUACACUCUUGGACAGCCUUCUGAAAGGGAGAUUAAUACAAGAUGUUAUCAUGAGUAAGCAUUUUCGCAUGAUUAAAGGUUUACCGGUGUAAGAUGGGGAUGCGUUCCAUUAGAUAGUAGGCGGGGUAACGGCCCACCUAGUCUUCGAUGGAUAGGGGUUCUGAGAGGAAGGUCCCCCACAUUGGAACUGAGACACGGUCCAAACUCCUACGGGAGGCAGCAGUGAGGAAUAUUGGUCAAUGGACGAGAGUCUGAACCA
This 337-nucleotide ribosomal RNA is filed under the name uncultured bacterium. Its description in RNAcentral is "bacterial SSU rRNA". It matches the Rfam family "Bacterial small subunit ribosomal RNA", at positions 62 to 390 of the family's 1533-position model. The record is from RNAcentral.